RNAcentral lists this non-coding RNA (172 nucleotides) under uncultured Pseudomonas sp. RNAcentral's name for it is "6S / SsrS RNA". It matches the Rfam family "6S / SsrS RNA". From Rfam's summary of the family: E. coli 6S RNA was the first non coding RNA to be sequenced, but its function was unknown until recently. It consists of 184 nucleotides that fold into an extended hairpin structure with a large single-stranded internal bulge. The 6S RNA specifically associates with RNA polymerase holoenzyme containing the sigma70 specificity factor. Lineage: Bacteria; Pseudomonadati; Pseudomonadota; Gammaproteobacteria; Pseudomonadales; Pseudomonadaceae. RNAcentral also lists the same sequence under 1 other name. The record is from RNAcentral.
UCCCUCGAGUGUUGGCCAGUUAACGUAAGUCCCUGAGCCGAUUCAUACCAAACCGGGGAUUACAUUUUUAAAUUGGUGUGCAUGUCCGCUUGCGGAAAGCCUAAAGAUUUGACGUAAUCUCCACCUUGAACCUUUCUGGUUCAAGGGCAAUGUCGACAGCGGCACUUCAGGG